RNAcentral lists this ribosomal RNA (492 nucleotides) under uncultured bacterium. RNAcentral's name for it is "partial 16S ribosomal RNA". It matches the Rfam family "Bacterial small subunit ribosomal RNA", at positions 29 to 507 of the family's 1533-position model. The record is from RNAcentral.
AGUGAACGCUGGCGGUAGGCCUAACACAUGCGAGUCGAACGGCAGCACAGUAAGAGCUUGCUCUUACGGGUGGCGAGUGGCGGACGGGUGAGGAAUACAUCGGAAUCUACUUUUUCGUGGGGGAUAACGUAGGGAAACUUACGCUAAUACCGCAUACGACCUACGGAUGAAAGCAGGGGAUCUUCGGACCUUGCGCGAUUGAAUGAGCCGAUGUCGGAUUAGCUAGUUGGCGGGGUAAAGGCCCACCAAGGCGACGAUCCGUAGCUGGUCUGAGAGGGUGAUCAGCCACACUGGAACUGAGACACGGUCCAGACUCCUACGGGAGGCAGCAGUGGGGAAUAUUGGACAAUGGGCGCAAGCCUGAUCCAGCCAUACCGCGUGGGUGAAGAAGGCCUUCGGGUUGUAAAGCCCUUUUGUUGGGAAAGAAAAGCAGCAGGUUAAUACCCCGCUGUUCUGACGGUACCCAAAGAAUAAGCACCGGCUAACUUCGUG